RNAcentral lists this ribosomal RNA (500 nucleotides) under uncultured bacterium. RNAcentral describes it as "partial 16S ribosomal RNA". It matches the Rfam family "Bacterial small subunit ribosomal RNA", at positions 28 to 523 of the family's 1533-position model. The record is from RNAcentral.
GACGAACGCUGGCGGCGUGCCUAAUACAUGCAAGUCGAGCGAGACUCUUCGGAGUCUAGCGGCGGACGGGUGAGAAACACGUGGGCAACCUGCCUGUAAGACUGGGAUAACACCGGGAAACCGGUGCUAAUACCGGAUAAUCCUUUUUCUCUCAUGAGGAAAACCUGAAAGUCGGUUUCGGCUGACACUUACAGAUGGGCCCGCGGCGCAUUAGCUAGUUGGUGAGGUAAAGGCUCACCAAGGCGACGAUGCGUACCCGACCUGAGAGGGUGAGCGGCCACACUGGGACUGAGACACGGCCCAGACUCCUACGGGAGGCAGCAGUAGGGAAUCUUCCACAAUGGACGAAAGUCUGAUGGAGCAACGCCGCGUGAGCGAUGAAGGCCUUCGGGUCGUAAAGCUCUGUUGUUAGGGAAGAACAAGUACCGGAGUAACUGCCGGUACCUUGACGGUACCUAACCAGAAAGCCACGGCUAACUACGUGCCAGCCGCCGCGGUAA